AGUCAACAGCCACACUCCAGGGGAUUUUCCCCUGUGAAAACGUUCAGAGAAGAGGUCCCCAAACUCCACUAGGAAUCCAUUCUAAUGUCUCCACAAGGCAAGGUUAAGACCUGCGAUUGUCCCACGGGCCCAAUAGCACCUAAGCUCACCAGGUUCAGCGUGAUCAUCAGCCAGUAACGAAGGACCCACUGGCGUACAGUUGGUGAUGACUCAGUGCAUGGGAACUGCCCCCCCCAGCC
RNAcentral lists this long non-coding RNA (239 nucleotides) under Fukomys damarensis (Damara mole-rat). RNAcentral describes it as "lncRNA (ENSFDAG00000031039.1)". Lineage: Eukaryota; Metazoa; Chordata; Mammalia; Rodentia; Bathyergidae. The record is from RNAcentral.